RNAcentral lists this ribosomal RNA (549 nucleotides) under uncultured Glomeromycotina. RNAcentral describes it as "SSU rRNA". It matches the Rfam family "Eukaryotic small subunit ribosomal RNA", at positions 548 to 1098 of the family's 1831-position model. Lineage: Eukaryota; Fungi; Glomeromycota. The record is from RNAcentral.
UUGGAGGGCAAGUCUGGUGCCAGCAGCCGCGGUAAUUCCGGCCCCAAUAGCGUAUAUUAAAGUUGUUGCAGUUAAAAAGCUCGUAGUUGAAUUUCGGGGUUAGUAGGCUGGUCAUGCCACAGGUAUGCACUGGUCUUACUGAUUCCUCCUUCCUGAUGAACCGUAAUGCCAUUAAUUUGGUGUUGCGGGGAGUCUGGACUGUUACUUUGAAAAAAUUAGAGUGUUUAAAGCAGGCUAACGCUUGAAUACAUUAGCAUGGAAUAACGAAAUAGGACGUUCGAUCUUAUUUUGUUGGUUUCUAGGAUUGACGUAAUGAUUAAUAGGGAUAGUUGGGGGCAUUAGUAUUCAAUUGUCAGAGGUGAAAUUCUUGGAUUUAUUGAAGACUAACUACUGCGAAAGCAUUUGCCAAGGAUGUUUUCAUUAAUCAAGAACGAAAGUUAGGGGAUCGAAGACGAUCAGAUACCGUCGUAGUCUUAACCAUAAACUAUGCCGACUAGGGAUCGGAUGAUGUUAAUUUUAUAAUGACUCAUUCGGCGCCUUACGGGAAAC